Molecule: ribosomal RNA, 238 nt
Filed under: uncultured bacterium
Lineage: Bacteria
Description: partial 16S ribosomal RNA
Rfam family: Bacterial small subunit ribosomal RNA
Source: RNAcentral
GAUCCUGGCUCAAGAUGAACGCUGGCGGCGUGCUUAACACAUGCAAGUCGAACGAAGCACUUUAUUUGAUUUCUUCGGAAUGAAGAUUAUGUGACUGAGUGGCGGACGGGUGAGUAACGCGUGGGUAACCUGCCUCAUACAGGGGGAUAACAGUUGGAAACGACUGCUAAUACCGCAUAAGCGCACAGGGUCGCAUGACCUGGUGCGAAAAACUCCGGUGGUAUGAGAUGGACCCGCG